GAUCAAAUGCAAGUCGAACGGUAACAGGGAGCAGCUCGCUGCUCUGCUGACGAGUGGCGGACGGGUGAGUAAUGUCUGGGGAUCUGCCCGAUGGAGGGGGAUAACCACUGGAGACGGUGGCUAAUACCGCAUAACGUCGCAAGACCAAAGUGGGGGACCUUCGGGCCUCACACCAUCGGAUGAACCCAGAUGGGAUUAGCUAGUAGGUGGGGUAACGGCUCACCUAGGCGACGAUCCCUAGCUGGUCUGAGAGGAUGACCAGCCACACUGGAACUGAGACACGGUCCAGACUCCUACGGGAGGCAGCAGUGGGGAAUAUUGCACAAUGGGCGCAAGCCUGAUGCAGCCAUGCCGCGUGUAUGAAGAAGGCCUUCGGGUUGUAAAGUACUUUCAGCGGGGAGGAAGGGAGCAAGGUUAAUAACCUGGUUCAUUGACGUUACCCGCAGAAGAAGCACCGGCUAACUCCGUGCCAGCAGCCGCGGUAAUACGGAGGGUGCAAGCGUUAAUCGGAAUUACUGGGCGUAAAGCGCACGCAGGCGGUCUGUCAAGUCGGAUGUGAAAUCCCCGGGCUCAACCCGGGAACUGCAUUCGAAACUGGCAGGCUAGAGUCUUGUAGAGGAGGGUAGAAUUCCAGGUGUAGCGGUGAAAUGCGUAGAGAUCUGGAGGGAUACCGGUGGCGAAGGCGGCCCCCUGGACAAAGACUGACGCUCAGUUGCGAAAGCGUGGGGAGCAAACAGGAUUAGAUACCCUGGUAGUCCACGCCGUAAACGAUGUCGACUUGGAGGCUGUGAGCUUGACUCGUGGCUUCCGGAGCUAACGCGUUAAGACGACCGCCUGGGUAGUACGGCCGCAAGGUUAAAACUCAAAUGAAUUGACGGGGGCCCGCACAAGCGGUGGAGCAUGUGGUUUAAUUCGAUGCAACGCGAAGAACCUUACCUGGCCUUGACAUCCACGGAAUUCUGCAGAGAUGCGGAAGUGCCUUCGGGAACCGUGAGACAGGUGCUGCAUGGCUGUCGUCAGCUCGUGUUGUGAAAUGUUGGGUUAAGCCCCGCAACGAGCGCAACCCUUAUCCUUUGUUGCCAGCGAUUCG
RNAcentral lists this ribosomal RNA (1090 nucleotides) under Pantoea alhagi. RNAcentral describes it as "bacterial SSU rRNA". It matches the Rfam family "Bacterial small subunit ribosomal RNA", at positions 49 to 1128 of the family's 1533-position model. The record is from RNAcentral. Lineage: Bacteria; Pseudomonadati; Pseudomonadota; Gammaproteobacteria; Enterobacterales; Erwiniaceae.